GACGCUCAUGCACGAAAGCGCGGGGAGCAAACAGGAUUAGAUACCCUGGUAGUCCACGCCCUAAACGAUGUCAACUGGUUGUNGGGAGGGUUUCUUNUCAGUAANGUAGCUAACGCNUGAAGUUGACCGCCUGGGGAGUACGGCCGCAAGGUUGAAACUCAAAGGAAUUGACGGGGACCCNCNCNNNCNNNNGAUGAUGUGGUUUAAUUNGACGCAACGCGAAAAACCUUACCUACCCUUGACAUGUCNGGAAUUUUGCAGAGAUGUGAAAGUGCUCGAAAGAGAACCAGAACACAGGUGCUGCAUGGCCGUCGUCAGCUCGUGUCGUGAGAUGUUGGGUUAAGUCCCGCAACGAGCGCAACCCUUGUCAUUAGNUGCUACGAAAGGGCACUCUAAUGAGACUGCCGGUGACAAACCGGAGGAAGGUGGGGANGACGUCAGGUCCNCNNGGCCCUUAUGGGUAGGGCUACACACGUCAUACAAUGGCCGGUACAGAGGGCUGCCAACCCGCGAGGGGGAGCCAAUCCCAGAAAACCGGUNGUAGUCCGGAUCGCAGUCUGCAACUNGANUGCGNGAAGUCGGAAUCGCUAGUAAUCGCGGAUCAGCUUGCCGCGGUGAAUACGUUCCCGGGCCUUGUACACNCCGCCCGUCAUCUUGCNGAAAAAC
Molecule: ribosomal RNA, 666 nt
Filed under: uncultured Leptothrix sp.
Lineage: Bacteria; Pseudomonadati; Pseudomonadota; Betaproteobacteria; Burkholderiales; Sphaerotilaceae
Description: partial 16S ribosomal RNA
Rfam family: Bacterial small subunit ribosomal RNA
Source: RNAcentral